AGAACCUUAGUGACAAGUGAAUUCCUCCAGAAGGCGUGGUGGUGAAAAUCCUGCAGAAGUGCUUAACUUCGGUGCAAGAAGAGUCAGUUAGAGUGUUGUAUCACAUUUAUCAGUUUGACUAUGCCGAGCCUUCUGGAAUCCCAGCUGGGCAUCUUCCAUGAGCAUGGGUUUGAUACACAUGAGCACGCACACGUGUGCGCAUGAUGUCGUUCAAGCUGGGGCUGAGAGUUGAGCUGUUUGCCACGGGGUAUUUGAUUCCUGAUACACUGCACUUAACCACCGUGCCACGGACCCGCCUUCAAGUAUUCCGGAUUUGACUGUCUGCUUUACCAACUCGGCAACGCUUCCUGUUUCCUGCUAGCCUGGCCUGGUAAGGACCCAGCCCCAGAAGUGAAGUGGGUUUGACUCCUGCCCCAGCAAGGGAGUGAAGAGGGAGAAGUUCUGCUUGUCUCCGGGAUAAAGGGAAGAGGAAGGUGAAGCUUCUUGAACAGCUGUGCAGGACCUCACUGUGUGGACAGGCUGUGUGGACAGCUGAGUACUCACUGGCCGGUUAGCCGGGAGUCCCUGAGGACGGGCCGUGUGCUGACUGCACGGAGCCCUCGGAGCCCAGCACAUAGUAGGUGCUCAGUAAACCUGGCAAUGCUUUUGUAAUGAAGAAGCCUCUGAGUGAGGGGAGUCUUUAAGCCAGAACACAAAGAGAAGAGGUAUGGGGCCAGCAGGUGGCGUGGUGGGAAGGUGCUGGA
This is a long non-coding RNA of Tupaia belangeri chinensis (Chinese tree shrew), 743 nucleotides long. RefSeq lists it as uncharacterized. Lineage: Eukaryota; Metazoa; Chordata; Mammalia; Scandentia; Tupaiidae. The record is from RefSeq and is a predicted model, not a curated record. The transcript is spliced from 4 exons.